This is a long non-coding RNA of Suricata suricatta (meerkat), 1427 nucleotides long. RefSeq lists it as uncharacterized. The record is from RefSeq and is a predicted model, not a curated record. NCBI's taxonomy places the organism in Eukaryota, Metazoa, Chordata, Mammalia, Carnivora, Herpestidae. The transcript is spliced from 3 exons.
CCGCGCGCGCCGCCGGCCCGCCGUGGCCGAGCCGGGAGCCGUCGGCGCUGUUCGGGGGGAGCUUGGGACCUCAGGGCCGGAGGGCGUCUCUCAGGGGUUCCGAGGCAGCGCGAUCGUCUUCUAAGGGCGGCCGGGGCCCGAGGCCACAUAUGGCGAUGCGCCACUCGCCCGUUAUGUGCCCGGGCCCUUGGCCUUUCUUUAGUUCUUUUCUAACCCCGACCCCCCAUCUCGUUUCAGGGCCGGAGUGUCACUGGUGAGCCGCAGGGAGCUGCGCGGAUGGGAGCAGCGAAGCCUCCAGGAUGCCAGGCAGUUUGGAGUUUAGGAAAGCCUGUGUGUCAGGCAGGAGCCCCUUCUAGACUCAGAGUUUAAUGUGACCGGAAGAGAGGACUAAUGUGGGAAGUGGCAUUUGAUGAGAAAAAAAAAAAAAAAAUCCAACCCAUCAUGAGAUGGACCCUGGAGAGACCGGAGCCGGUCUGACGGAUGGCAGAGUCAGAGGCGGAAAGAAAAUUUAGGGGUGACAUCAAGGAGCCAAGAGCAUCAUUUCAGCGAAGGCGUGAUUCAGCUGCCAGAUACUACAGAGAAACCAAACUAAGGAUGAGAAAGUUAAUUUACCAGUAAGGAAAUAUGAGAGCCGUUUCAGAAAAUGAGGACAGGAAUCAGCUGAGUGAAUAUGGCCAUAAGGGAUGGGCGUCAGCGACACGAGGACGUGGAACCUAAGGUUUUCCCAUGUUGCAGUUAGAGCAUGUGCAUUAUUUUCUCGUAUGACCUCAGCGGUGCGGCAUCAGCCCCUCUGGCUCCAGAGGCACCCAGGUGGCCUCAGCCCUGGGCAAUGGCUGCUUGGCAACCAGCAUCCGAUAAAGUAAUGACGCGCUCGUAGACGGUGAUACCGGACACCGGCUGGGACCUUCAAGCACUCUUACCGUUUCUCUGUCGUUACAGAUCCAUUAAAAACUAUACACAUUAAAAAAUCAAACAAACCAAGAUUGCUUGAUAAACCUACUUAAAUAAUUUUCCAAGUUUAGCUGUUCCCCUCUUGGAAAGCAUACCAGAGCUGACGAGAGUCCCCGUUCCCUCUCAUACUCCGGCUGAGCCAGCACCUAACGCUAGGGCGGCAGAAAGUCUGCUCCGACAGACGGAGAGCCGCUUCCGAGUGUCAGACGACAAAACGUCUCUUUAAGCCUCCAAGCAUGUAUAUACAUCAUGGUGUAGCAAGAUGGUAAUUCUUUAGUCUCAUUUUUGGGAUGUUCUUCAAGGAAAGGAAAAAAAAAAAGGCACAGAGGACACUUGGUUUCCUUACCAACAGUGGCCUUAAACUAAACGCUUGCUUUUUGUGAGGAGUCUGAAGAAUACGCAGCGGCACCGGUGCCACAGCAUCCACAAAGUUGCAGGAAAUAACUUAAAAAAAAAAGAAAAAGCUUGCAGAAAAA